Molecule: small nuclear RNA, 21 nt
Filed under: Arabidopsis thaliana (thale cress)
Lineage: Eukaryota; Viridiplantae; Streptophyta; Magnoliopsida; Brassicales; Brassicaceae
Description: snRNA_06777
Source: RNAcentral
UUCGCUUAACACACACGGAUC